AUGAUCAGCAGGUGGAUUCGCCGCGGCCUGAGGCUGUCACCGGCGGGAAUCGACAUCAUAGUCGACGGUAUCCCGAUGGACCAACCCUCCUAUUUCUCCAACACCGGCGCCAACCUUGGGCGCCUCACCAAGAUCCGCCUCGACGGCGUUCUCCUCAUCGGGGGCAUCGGUGAUCUCUUCGGCACCGACAUACUCCUCCCCGUCCUGCAAGACCUGGAGGUCAGGAACAGUGCCCUCGGGUACAUUGUGUCCGACACGCUGACGAACCUCACAGUCGUCUACGACUCCCCGGCGAGUACACAAACAUACGAGAUGUUUGGCCACAUCGCCGCUCCUCGCUUGGCGUCGCUGCGGUUCGAGUUGCCGCUCGCCCGUCUCGCCAACUUGGACUCCACCGUAGAGGAGCUACCUUGCCUUGCACAAGCAUCCAUCCGCCUACUCCACGAGACUCCUCAGCCGUGGAGCGGGGACGAUGACGAUGAUGACGACGACGACGACGAUGAACCAGACACUACACGUCCGGUGAUAAGCAAUCUGUGCACCCUCCUCGGCUUUCUGUGCAAUGUCACCAGCUUGCACCUCUCUGGUUUCCAGGAAAUGGCACGUACGCACGCCGUGCUGCUGCAGGCAGUGCUGGAUGAACCUUGUUGCGUGUUCCCCAACCUCAAAAGCUUGGUUCUGGACGAUUGUAACCUUGGCGACGGACUGCAAACUCUCUGGCGUUUUCUACACAACACUCCUGCCCUUGAGCGGCUGGCUCUCAGAAGUUGCAAGCCUUGGGCGCCUCACCAAGAUCCACUCGACAACGUUCUCCUCCGUGAGGCCAUCGGGGAUCUCUUCGGCACCGACAGCCUCCUCCCCGUCUUGCAAGACCUGGAGAUCAGGAACAGUGCCCUCGGCUACAUUGCGUCCGACACGCUGACGAACCUCACCGUCGUCUAUGACUCCCAGGUGAGUAAUCCCACAUACGAGAUGUUUGGCCACAUCGCCGCUCCUGGCCUGGCGUCGUUGCGGUUCGAGUUCCCGCUCGCCCGUCUCGCCAACUUGAACUUCACCAUGGAGGAGCUACCUUGUCUUGCCAAAGCAUCCAUCCGCCUACUCGACGAGACUCCUCAGCCGUGGAGCUAG
RNAcentral lists this ribosomal RNA (1128 nucleotides) under Triticum aestivum (bread wheat). Its description in RNAcentral is "partial small subunit ribosomal RNA". The record is from RNAcentral. Lineage: Eukaryota; Viridiplantae; Streptophyta; Magnoliopsida; Poales; Poaceae.